RNAcentral lists this ribosomal RNA (683 nucleotides) under Shigella sonnei. RNAcentral describes it as "partial 23S ribosomal RNA". It matches the Rfam family "Bacterial large subunit ribosomal RNA", at positions 2124 to 2806 of the family's 2925-position model. The record is from RNAcentral. Lineage: Bacteria; Pseudomonadati; Pseudomonadota; Gammaproteobacteria; Enterobacterales; Enterobacteriaceae.
UUGAGCCUUGAUGUGUAGGAUAGGUGGGAGGCUUUGAAGUGUGGACGCCAGUCUGCAUGGAGCCGGCCUUGAAAUACCACCCUUUAAUGUUUGAUGUUCUAACGUGGACCCGUGAUCCGGGUUGCGGACAGUGUCUGGUGGGUAGUUUGACUGGGGCGGUCUCCUCCUAAAGAGUAACGGAGGAGCACGAAGGUUGGCUAAUCCUGGUCGGACAUCAGGAGGUUAGUGCAAUGGCAUAAGCCAGCUUGACUGCGAGCGUGACGGCGCGAGCAGGUGCGAAAGCAGGUCAUAGUGAUCCGGUGGUUCUGAAUGGAAGGGCCAUCGCUCAACGGAUAAAAGGUACUCCGGGGAUAACAGGCUGAUACCGCCCAAGAGUUCAUAUCGACGGCGGUGUUUGGCACCUCGAUGUCGGCUCAUCACAUCCUGGGGCUGAAGUAGGUCCCAAGGGUAUGGCUGUUCGCCAUUUAAAGUGGUACGCGAGCUGGGUUUAGAACGUCGUGAGACAGUUCGGUCCCUAUCUGCCGUGGGCGCUGGAGAACUGAGGGGGGCUGCUCCUAGUACGAGAGGACCGGAGUGGACGCAUCACUGGUGUUCGGGUUGUCAUGCCAAUGGCACUGCCCGGUAGCUAAAUGCGGAAGAGAUAAGUGCUGAAAGCAUCUAAGCACGAAACUUGCCCCGAGAUG